Long non-coding RNA from Ostrinia nubilalis (European corn borer), 1570 nucleotides. RefSeq lists it as uncharacterized. The transcript has 3 exons. NCBI's taxonomy places the organism in Eukaryota, Metazoa, Arthropoda, Insecta, Lepidoptera, Crambidae. The record is from RefSeq and is a predicted model, not a curated record.
UGCAAACAUCAGUCACUCAUUCAUACUUAUUCAUUCGUUCCUUUUUGACAUUCAUUCCAUUGGAGAGAAUCGGACGGAUUGCACGUUGGAGUCUAUAACCUCCACCCCAAAAUUGUUUUACAAUUAAUUAACGUGUGUCCAAUGUGUCAAUAUACGCAAUUUGAAAUUUAACAAGUGUUUCCAUGAACAUUUGUUUUUGGUCCAUCGAGCCUUCUAUAAUAGUGAAGAGGACAGUGAUCAUUUGUUUUUGGUCCAUCGAGCCUUCUAUAAUAGUGAAGAGGACAGUGAUCAUUUGUUUUUGGUCCAUCGAGCCUUCUAUAAAAGUGAAGAGGACAGUGAACAUUUUUAUUGGUCAUCGAGCUUUCUAUAAAAGUGAAAUCGUGAAAUUACAAUAUUACAUGGAGUUUGGUGUGCUGCAAAUUUACUCAUAAAACUGAACGUUGGUGGUCAUCCCACUACAACCUGAGUGCCGUCAUCAAUCUACCGACCGGGUGCCGAUAGUCAUCAUAUUUUAUCAAUAUACAAGUUCGUCGUGUGAAGAAUCAAAAUGGCUGAACGUAUGCCGUCUCCCCGCCGAAACGCAAGACCAUGAAGUUGGGCGCAGAAAGAAGCGAACAUUGAACGAGUUGAAGAACGAACAAGAAGAACGAGGUGAACAUAGGCGCUAAUUCCGGAGGACAUCAUUCUUUACUUCUUCCCUUGUUAAUGGCGAUGGACUUAUUCUGUUUCGCCACUAAGUGCAUAAAGGUCAUUCAUUUCUUCCGUUCCUUCCCGCGUUUUUAUAUAGUUGGCGUCCUGUCAUCUGUCAACUGUCUUUCAUUCGUUCGUUUCAUUUUUACUUGUCGUUAGAAAUUUGUCUUUUCGAGAUUUUGGAUAAAAUUUUAGUAAAUAAAGUCGUGGUUCAAUUUCCAAGCCAUGGCCGAAAAGACAUUAGAAAGGGGGUACGUGAAGGCAGGAAUCACACGCCUAAAACACUUUUGUUUUUCGGAUUCUUUCGAAUCCGCAAGUGUCGACGCUCUCCGCUUAAAAAGAGAACGUUUAAUUAAUCUGUUUAAAGAAUAUGAAUUAAUAAACAAAAGUAUCCUGAAUACCAAUGCCGAUGACAGCGAGGACGUCGGCAAGGUUGAGGAUGUAUAUUACGAGUGCAUGGAGUUGUUGGACGCCAGACUAAACCGCCAAAAUAAUGGUAUACAAAGAGAAAAAGAAAGGCGCGCAUUAGCUAUGGAGACAAAUGAGGAGAGGCCUGCUCCAGCCAAAUCAACCAGCAAUGUAGCAGCCAUCAAGACAACAAUAUGUCCUGCAGCGUGAGUCGCUGCCAGUUACUCCAAAUGGCCCUUUCCUGGUUAAUACAUUGUUCGGGUAUGUGGUAGCAGGCAGCCUGCCUGUCUCCGCUGGUAACAUCUCAUCUUCUAAUGUUUGUGUCACUAUUAAAGGUAACAAAUUUGGCUUCCAUAAUAAUGCUUCUGAGACACCUUUUGAUCCUAUAGAUCAAACAUUUAAUUAUUCUGAAAAUAAUUGUAAAAAUAUUAAUGACUUAGAAAAAACAAUGUCAAAUUCUUGGGAAUGUGAA